This 4346-nucleotide long non-coding RNA is filed under the name Homo sapiens (human). RNAcentral's name for it is "HSALNT0084883". Lineage: Eukaryota; Metazoa; Chordata; Mammalia; Primates; Hominidae. The record is from RNAcentral.
CGCGGGGCCGCGGGGACCGGGGCCGGCUCUCCCGGCGGCGGCGUCGGGGGCGGGACGGGGAGGGGAUGCGGAAGGUUCUGCAGCUGCGGCGGCGGCAGGCGCGGCCGUUCGGUGGAGCCGCCGGCUCGGCUCUGAUGGAGGCGGCGCCGAAUUCGGCUGCGCGUGAGAGCCGCGCCGCGGAAGGGGGGGCCGGAGAAGCGAGGGGGCGGGAGGGAGGAGCGGCGCGGCGGGGGUGACGGGGCGCGGGCGCGGGGUGGGCUGGGGGCGCGGAUCAGUGGGACGGAGUUCGGGGUUCGGCUCCGAGCGGGCGGGCUGGAAGUGGGGGAUCCCUCAGCCGCCUCCACGGGCCGGCCCCGCGCUCACGUCGGUUCCGGGGCGGAUGACCCCUCUCCAAACGGCGCAGCGCUGCGGCUCUCGUGAGCUGGGAAGUAGGGGGCAGGGGAGAGGCCGCGGGUCCAGAAACCGUUACUGGAUGGGCCGGUGGGAUGUGGCGCGGGCCGGGUGGGGCGCGACAGUCUGAGCCGAGACCCGCGUGGGCUUAAGGGUGCGCGAGGCGGGUGCCCUGGGCGCGCCCGAACUGGCUGAGCAGUGGAGCGGGAAAGGGCGCGGGACCCGGGACUGUAACCGCCACUUCCAGGCCCUCGCUCCCCGCGCUUGGAGCCCUCAAGGGCACUCUCAGGGAUCCUCGAGAGCCUUAAAACAGAAGUCUCUGGAACCUGUGUCCUCUCCCUGUCUGUCCCGCCCUCGAAUCCCUGUGUCCUCCUCACCCGCUCCCUCCUGCAGUGAGCAUCCCGGGUUGUUGGUAAAGAUCUUGGUGCCUGGGAGGUCGGAGCUUCGUCUCCUGAAAUGGUUUAUACUAGUGAACCCUGGCGCCACGUUCUGUGGCUUAUAAUCACUUUCGUCGUUGCCGCAUGAGGAAGCAAAUGACACCGCCCCUUACCCUGGAAAAGUGGCUGCAGCCUUCCCCGGAUCUUAGUUUUACUCACCCCGAAGUCAAUUUCUCGUCGUCUCUGCCUUGAACCUUGGAAACAAGUGCUUUCAACAUAAGCGAUGUGAAGGCAUUAAAACAUGUUGAAUGGCUGUGUGCACAGGAUAUCCUACACCUGCCUGACAUCUGGAAUGCAGGUGAAGCAACCUGACCUGAUGGAGCCACCCACACUUUAGAAGAAUCUCAAAUACAGCCAACCCUGAUCUUCCUCAGCUGAAAAUCAUCCAUCUACCAAACUCACAAAUUAAACAUAACGUAAAUAUUAUUACGUUAUGCCUUGUGUUGUGGUGUUAGGCAUGCACAGAUCUGGGUUUAUCCCCUUGUGCUAGACAGUAAGUCACUUGGUUUGAGUCUGUCUGUUUCAGUGACCCUUUUCUCUAAAGCAUUUAGUUAACAUGAUGGCUGACAUCAGCGAGAACUCAGUAAAUGUGGAUUAAAUGAGAAAAUUCAAAAGAAUGAUUACUUACCUUUUUAAAGUUAUCAAUGAAUUCUAUACAAAUAACAACUUAAAGGUCACUAUGUUUCCAGGAAGUUUGGGUGGAGAGCAGAGGAUUGGUUUUCUAGACAGAGAACUUGUUAGACUGAAACAAAUCUUUCUGUGGAAAGUGUUGGGUUGCUGGCCUGAAUCCUGGCUGCUAUAGGGUCCCUGCCUCUUUCUUGGGCCCCUGACCUUAGAAGAAUCUUCCUUCAGAUAAGAAGAGGAGGCAGCUCCAAGUUUACGGCAAACCACCAGCCUCACACACCACUCCCAACCCACCCUUUUUCCAGACUUUAAAACAUCCCAGAAAAGGAUCAUGGUUGCUCCAGCCUGGACCAUGAGCUGCUGAGCAGUCGCUGAAAAUCCCUUCAACAAAAUGACAUAGCUGAUGUGAGUAAAUAGUAAUUCCUUGAAGGAAGAGAAAUUCUAUUUCCAGGGGAAUGACUGCUUGACAGAUAAAAAGAGACACAAGUAUCCCCACAUCUUGGAAUUUGACCUCUAGCCGCCACAAUUGACUAUAUUUGUCAUCACCUUCUUCUUGUCCAGCUGAACUCCUAAACCUGCCACCCCACCCCUAGCUAAGCUAAUAACAUGAAACUGUGCCCCAAAAGAUAGUGAAUAUUUACUGAAAUGCAAAACCAAGAGUUAUAAACUAUAGCCACAGACAAGACUUCUUAAAUGCAGGAAGUUUUGAAUAAGUGGGCACAAGUUAAUACAAUCAAAGAAAAACAAUAUUUGAUAUUUUGGACAUGAGCCCAAUGUGCUGGCGUAUAUGUGUGUGUGAGUGGGCAGGUGGAUGGGGGAAAUCUCACUAAUGAUGGGUGUCAUCAGGAAAGAAAAUCCAAAAACAAAACUACCAUUCAUUUGUACAAUUAACAAUUAGAAAGUGACAAAUGUUUAAUAAUACACUUGGAGUGAUACAUGGUUGUACCUGACCUCAGAAAACUCAUGGCACAACUAAGAAGACAGAGACAUAGACAUAAACAUGUCACAUAGCUUGAGUUCUAGUUGGAGGAUUAAAAGUAUUAUACAAGUACAGAGAUCUAAGAGUUCUGCAGAAGAAAGAUGAUGUUUUAUAAGAAAGUUCCUCGGAGUGGGUCAUUUGAGCUGGGAUUUGAAGGCUAAAUAGGAGUAUGUCAGGUGUGCUUCAUAUCAGCAACUAACAAAAUCAAAGAGACAGAGAAACUGCUGUAGUUGUUAAAGUGACCCCAUCUCUACAAAAACUACAAAAGUUAUCCACGGGUGGUGACACACCCCUGUGGUCCCAGCUACUUAGGGGUGCUGAGGUGGGAGGAUGACUUGAGCCCAGGAGGUUGAGUGUUCAGUGAGCUGUGAUUGUACCACUGCACUCCAGCCUGAGUGACAGAGUGAGACCCUGUGUCAAAGAAAAAAAAAAAAAAAGAAGUGACAGAAAAGUAUAAGUGAUAAGUAGGACAAACCUACCACAUAUUGAAAUAAUAGAAGACAAGCACCUUUUGCUGGAAAAGCAUCACUGCGGGAAGAAUUCCUUCCAUAUAAUUACCAAGAAGUCACUAUUCCAUCAAAUGCAACCGAGAGCCACCGAAGUACCAAGAAAUAAGCAAAUCGGCCUCUAAAAGACCACCACAGCCCACCCCACACAAUCACAUAAAAAUCCAGUUACUAAUGCUUCCACUUUCCUCUCCAGUGAGACUGCUAGAUAUGCUUAUAUCUGACUUUAAAUAUAAUCCUAAUAAAUAUGCUCACCUGAUCUUCCUGUCCACAGCAAAUGGCAAAUAACAAAUCUGGAAAUGUAAGCAGAGUAGCAGCAUUAUGAAAUAACAGCUAAUAUUCCUGCCCUGACCCCAAAGAAAGCAGAACCAAUAGUUUUAAACCUCAGCAGGAAGCAUUCAUUUAAGAAGAAACAGCUCUAUACACAGCUGAGUAGCCACUGGAGGUGUUAUUUUGCUUUGUAUCCUGAUAUUCAUCAAGCAUGUGAGUCUCCAAGAAAAGUUUAGACCUUGUUGAUUAAACAGUAAAGGAUGAUGAGAGGCUUAUUCAGAAGAUUCCCUUUCAGUAUGGUUAAUUGCAGAUUUUUACCAUGUAAAAUAACCAGAUUAAAAAGUCUUCUCAUACCAUACUCCCCUCCUUCCACCUCCAAGCUUUGGUGGGUGCACCUGUUAGGCCUUGCAGUGCCCCUGUGAGCAUGCACCCUCACCACCCUCCUCCAGCUGACCGUAAGUCACUUGAGGGCAAGUCAUUUAUAUUCAUGUAACAUUUAUAGUUUGUCCCCAGUGCUUAGUUCAAAUGCCUUGGCACAUAAUGGGUAUUCAAAAAGGGUUUAUAUAAUGGACAAAGGAAAAUGAAGUGAUUGUAACACUUUUAAAGAAGAUUUAUAUUAAAAAUGAAUGAGCUUCCCACUACACGAACACUUCUUUUGCACUCACCAAUGAAAACUAAAAUUGAUUGAUCAUUUACUAGGUCAGGCACUGUUCCAAGCGUUUCACACAUGUGAAUUUAAUCCUCACCACAGUGCUGUGAAGCAGGCACUAUUAUGUUCCCUAUACCAAGGAGGACAGUGAGGCCCAGACAAUGUGCUGUGCCCAGGCAGGCAGCCGGUAAAUGACAGAGGCUGCCUGCACACUCUGGCAGGCUGGCUCCCAAGCCCAUGCCCUAUCCACUCUGUCAUAUACCUCCAGUGUUAUAUUAUUCAUAGAAGACCAAAAAAAGAAACCUAUGCGACUCACUGCUGCUAAAAGGGGUUGAGAACGUCAGUGUAGCUUCCCCGGUUUACAAAAAAAUCUUAGUGGUUGCACAACGUUGUGAAUGUAUGUAAUGCCACUAAGUUGUACACUUAAAAUAGUUACAAUGGUCAUUUUCAUGUUAUGUAUAUUUUACCACAAUAAAACAUUUCUUUUUAAA